RNAcentral lists this long non-coding RNA (1241 nucleotides) under Olea europaea (common olive). RNAcentral describes it as "long non-coding RNA (OEUR_LNC012876)". Lineage: Eukaryota; Viridiplantae; Streptophyta; Magnoliopsida; Lamiales; Oleaceae. The record is from RNAcentral.
CAGUUUACAUUGCCCACAACUUCCUCGUUCCAUUUCUUUAAGUCCCAUUUCAAGGCCUUUAGCUUCUGAUCCAAAACAAAAUUGGGAGACCCCCUGACUUCAUAAGAUGUCCACCAAGUCUGUACUUGCUCCCUAAAACCUUCUACUUUCAACCACAUCUUCUCAAACUUAAAAGACCUUCUUCUACCACCCCUCCUAUUCCCAGAUAACAUUAUAGGGAAAUGAUCUAAGUACACACUCUCCAAUCUUUUCUGAGUGACAUCUGAGUAUUUGGACUCUCACUCCCCACAAAUCAAGAACCUAUCUAUACGAGACAAGAUGGGUUGGUCUCGAUUAGAUGAUCAGGUAAAAUCUCCCCCAAUCAUAGGUAAAUUCACCAACAAAUUCUCCCUAAUAAAAUCUAAGAACUCCUCCAUUGCCCUAGUUAGUCUCCCACCACUUGGCCUCUCAAAGGAAAUUGAAUCACAUUGAAAUCACCCCCAAUACAUGUUGGGAGAUUCCACCAAGCCAUCAUUCCAGCAAAUUCAUCCCACAAGCCCACUCUGCUGUCAUCAGAAUUAGGCCCAUAAACUCCUGUGAACAUCCACCGAAAUCCAUCCUCACAAUUUUUAAAAGAUAUCGAUAUAGAGAACACCCCUAUUCUUACCUCCUCCAUCUCAAGCACUCUAGUGUCCCACAUCACCAACAAGCCUCCUGAUACCCUGAUGACCCCCAAAAACCAAUACCCUACAUGUUUUCCCCCUAUAAGCUACUAAUCACCAUCCCUCGAGAUGAACUCUAUCUUAGUUUCUUGUAAGCAUACAAGGUUUGCCCCCAUCUCCUAAGCAGAUGUUGAACACCAAGGCUUUUUCCAACCUCAUUGAGCCCCUGUACAUUUGAGCUAAUGAGUUUCGGCCUCAUUUUAACACUCCAUGAACCCUUCCCAUUAUUCAUUUCUAGGACUCGCUACCCUUACCAGCAUAAUUUACUGACCAUUCAAGCCUCUUAAGUUAGCGAUCGCCUUUCUUCUUAAUUUACCUCCAUGUGUACUGAUCCCUUGUCCCCUAUUAGCCUCCAGCUCCUCGAAUAAUUGUAGCAGUCUACUUUCAUAUCCAUCACAGGACACGCCAACCAACUUACUAAAUUCCUAAAUUGUUUGUAGAACCCAGUUCGAAGGUGGGAGUUCAACUUUAAACACAUUAGCUUCCGAAAUUUCCUCUCCGUGAUAGCCCUCCAGAUGAUCAAAGGACCCUCCUUUCUCU